AUGCGGAGACCCCCGAGAGCAGGACUAGAGGUGUUAUCUCCUAGGAGAGCCCCGAACCUGGGUAAAGUGCGCCGGUGUUCGUGUCUACGCCUCAUCCCGCUUCCAGGCACCGGCGACGUUCUACUCGCUCCCACCAUGAUAAGCCAUCCAUUGGCAUAUGUCGCACCCAACCCCCGACAUUUGGCGCCCACCAUGGGGCAAGGUGCACCGUCUCCCGGAGACCUGUUUUGGACGGGAACCUUGUUCCUUCCUGGCGAGCUCAGCCAGCCCAGCACGCCAGACGGCGUCUGCGCUGACGCGCUGCAAGGCGCGGAGGUCGCCUGUGCGGCGAGCUACCUCGCCGAUCUUGUUGGCGAGAUCCGCCUCUCCGACGAGCCCGCAUCCGACGCGGGCACAGAAGGCCCCGAGAGCCGCCUCGUUAGCCUCCUCGAUCAGCUCCACGUCGGCAGCGAGCCUGCUGUGGACUUGGAGUCGGUCGGCUCCACCGACCCGAUGCUUGUCGACUCCGACACAGCGUCGCUUGACGCGUUCCCCACCAACAUGGUGGUCUCCGACGAACCGCUUCCUCGCGCGGACAGCGGUGGUAGCACCGUCACGGAGGUGCUCGUCAUCAACCACGGCGAGCACUCUGGCGGGGGUGGCCCGGAUCCGUUGCAGGCGGCGAUGCAAGGCCUGACUGCGCCCAUCCCGGAAGACGCUGAAGUCGAGAGGCUGGAGGCACGCCGUGUCCAGCUCGUCGAAAGCGCCAACCGGCUGGCCAGCAUGAGACGCCUUUCGGAGGCCUACCAGCGUGAGAUGGACCGUGCCGUCGGCGGCACGCCGGCUCCUGGUGGGCCUAGCCGUAUUGGCCAGAUCCGACAGCGUGGCGCGACCAUCGCCAGCAUGUUCAAGACAGAUCGUCCCGUCUACGCCACGCCUGCGGAGAACAUACGAGCUGCCCAGGCGGCAGCAGACGAGCUAGAAAAGCUCGAGGGCGACGAGCGUCACCACAUGACGGAGCGCGUCCAGCAGCUCCUUGACGCGGCUGCUGAGCAGCAAGAGGCCGGGUGCCGCACUGAAGCACCCAACCGGCGAAACGACGACCCGCCUCCCCGCCGGACCAAGGCGCGACAUCCCGGACACCGACUGGUGGCGUCCGCGGUAGAAGAGACAAGGAGCCGGCUGCCAGCCGCAGCCAGACUCGCAUCACCAUCGAGCGCGACCAAUACGGCCGCCCAAGAGGAGUGGAACGACGGGACGACUGUCCGCCUCCACCUCCCCCCUGCAGGGAGAGGUGCGUCUCCCCGCCGCCUGUUGAUCACCCGACACUCGGCGACCGCCUUGGCCGCCGAGAAGGAGUCGGAGAGAACGAUGCCCGCCAUCAGAUCGACCGCCUCAACCGAUCCCUGGCGCUAG
RNAcentral lists this ribosomal RNA (1395 nucleotides) under Triticum aestivum (bread wheat). Its description in RNAcentral is "partial small subunit ribosomal RNA". Lineage: Eukaryota; Viridiplantae; Streptophyta; Magnoliopsida; Poales; Poaceae. The record is from RNAcentral.